Molecule: ribosomal RNA, 720 nt
Filed under: Stenotrophomonas sp. 110609_136_C_C1
Lineage: Bacteria; Pseudomonadati; Pseudomonadota; Gammaproteobacteria; Lysobacterales; Lysobacteraceae
Description: bacterial SSU rRNA
Rfam family: Bacterial small subunit ribosomal RNA
Source: RNAcentral
GCUCAGAGUGAACGCUGGCGGUAGGCCUAACACAUGCAAGUCGAACGGCAGCACAGUAAGAGCUUGCUCUUACGGGUGGCGAGUGGCGGACGGGUGAGGAAUACAUCGGAAUCUACUUUUUCGUGGGGGAUAACGUAGGGAAACUUACGCUAAUACCGCAUACGACCUACGGGUGAAAGCAGGGGACCUUCGGGCCUUGCGCGAUUGAAUGAGCCGAUGUCGGAUUAGCUAGUUGGCGGGGUAAAGGCCCACCAAGGCGACGAUCCGUAGCUGGUCUGAGAGGAUGAUCAGCCACACUGGAACUGAGACACGGUCCAGACUCCUACGGGAGGCAGCAGUGGGGAAUAUUGGACAAUGGGCGCAAGCCUGAUCCAGCCAUACCGCGUGGGUGAAGAAGGCCUUCGGGUUGUAAAGCCCUUUUGUUGGGAAAGAAAUCCAGCCGGCUAAUACCUGGUUGGGAUGACGGUACCCAAAGAAUAAGCACCGGCUAACUUCGUGCCAGCAGCCGCGGUAAUACGAAGGGUGCAAGCGUUACUCGGAAUUACUGGGCGUAAAGCGUGCGUAGGUGGUUGUUUAAGUCUGUUGUGAAAGCCCUGGGCUCAACCUGGGAACUGCAGUGGAAACUGGACGACUAGAGUGUGGUAGAGGGUAGCGGAAUUCCUGGUGUAGCAGUGAAAUGCGUAGAGAUCAGGAGGAACAUCCAUGGCGAAGGCAGCUACC